GGGCUGGGUCUCACAUAGAAAGGGGACAGUCUGCAGCACCUUCUUCCUGGCCAAGCCCUUUCUCCCUAGGAGGACAGCGGUUCCUCCUUUAGUGAUGCUUGGCCCUGCCCCACUCAGUCUCCACACUGCAGCCGGAGGGUUAUUCCUGACACAAGUCCACCGUGGCCUUCUGCUGGCUUCAAAGUUGUGCCCUGAUGUCUGGUCAUAGCCAAAAGAGCCCUGAAUGACCAGCCCCUGCCUGCCGGCCACUUCUUCCUCGUGCUCAACAUGCUCCUGAUAUUUUAGGUCACCUUCAUCUUCACAUGAGCCAAGUUCCUCCUGGGGGCAGACUUCGCCCGUUUUUUCUCUCGCUCUUCCCCUGCAGCUCUCCUAAGUGAAUCCACCGAGCCCUUCUCUGUGGCUGCAGCCUACCGGCUACGUCUUCAGAGAGGUCACCCUGACGGCGCUUCCUGAACAACACUCUCAACCACCAUUCUCUGCUUAUUUGCUCAGCAAUUUGUUUUUCUUCUUUUCACACCACAACUAAUAAUUACUUGAUGUAUUACUCCAAACUGCUUCAUGGAAAUAACACGCUGUGUUCGGCUAUUUGGACUACGUGGGCUGAUGCAGAAAAGAUGACAUUGGAAUAAAGAUCUGAAGGAAGUAAGGAAGACCUGCCGAAGAGAGGGAAUAGAAUGGAGGAAGGCUUUGAAGAGCAGUGAGGAGACCAGAACUGGGGAGAGGAGUGAAGAGAGUAGCUAGCACCGGAGUGGGAGAGAAGAAAAAGGGAAGUCAGAAUAGUUUUGAUGUCUUUGUCUUUGAAAAACUGCAAUAAAUCCAAGGCUGAGGAUAGAGCGGCGAUCAGAAAUUAUAUGGAUUCCUCUAAGCCAAGCUAUAUAUCAUCGACACAAUCCA
Heterocephalus glaber (naked mole-rat) is the source of this 894-nucleotide long non-coding RNA. RefSeq lists it as uncharacterized. Lineage: Eukaryota; Metazoa; Chordata; Mammalia; Rodentia; Bathyergidae. The record is from RefSeq and is a predicted model, not a curated record.